UAGUUAGUUUUAAUUCUUUAUUUUUAAGGUUUAUUGUCUUAUACUCGUCCAUUAAUUCAUUGAAGGCAUCAUAUAACUCAUCGAAAGUAAAGUCUAAAUGUGUUCCGGAUGUUACCUCAUUGUCAUUAGCCAUAAAACAAAGGUUGGCCUUCUCUUCUUGUUCCUCAUCCGAUGAUGAUGAUGAUGUGUCGGAGUCCGAUAGGGUGGAGACAAGGACUUUCUUUUUCUUGUACUUGCUCCCCUUCUUCAGCAAAGGACACUCAGCUCUGAAGUGCCCCGGCUUCUUACACUCAUAACAUCCAAUUCCCUCAUUUUCUCUUUUCUUACCUUUAUCCUUGUGAUAGGAAUUUGAGGGGCCUCUCCUUUGAUGAGAGGACUUCUUCCGGUUGAUGAAUCUUCGGAAUUUUCUUACAAGGAGUGCCUCAUCAUCAUCUCCCUCAUUGUCUUCCUCUUCACUGCUACUGCUGCAAGACACAUCUUUGU
RNAcentral lists this long non-coding RNA (483 nucleotides) under Phoenix dactylifera (date palm). RNAcentral's name for it is "long non-coding RNA (PDAC_LNC022114)". The record is from RNAcentral. Lineage: Eukaryota; Viridiplantae; Streptophyta; Magnoliopsida; Arecales; Arecaceae.